Molecule: ribosomal RNA, 1331 nt
Filed under: Acinetobacter sp. C115
Lineage: Bacteria; Pseudomonadati; Pseudomonadota; Gammaproteobacteria; Moraxellales; Moraxellaceae
Description: bacterial SSU rRNA
Rfam family: Bacterial small subunit ribosomal RNA
Source: RNAcentral
AGAGUUUGAUCAUGGCUCAGAUUGAACGCUGGCGGCAGGCUUAACACAUGCAAGUCGAGCGGAGCGAGGGUGCUUGCACCUUAGCUUAGCGGCGGACGGGUGAGUAAUGCUUAGGAAUCUGCCUAUUAGUGGGGGACAACAUUCCGAAAGGGAUGCUAAUACCGCAUACGCCCUACGGGGGAAAGCAGGGGAUCUUCGGACCUUGCGCUAAUAGAUGAGCCUAAGUCGGAUUAGCUAGUUGGUGGGGUAAAGGCCUACCAAGGCGACGAUCUGUAGCGGGUCUGAGAGGAUGAUCCGCCACACUGGGACUGAGACACGGCCCAGACUCCUACGGGAGGCAGCAGUGGGGAAUAUUGGACAAUGGGGGGAACCCUGAUCCAGCCAUGCCGCGUGUGUGAAGAAGGCCUUUUGGUUGUAAAGCACUUUAAGCGAGGAGGAGGCGCUCUAGGAUAAUACCCUAGAUGCGUGGACGUUACUCGCAGAAUAAGCACCGGCUAACUCUGUGCCAGCAGCCGCGGUAAUACAGAGGGUGCGAGCGUUAAUCGGAUUUACUGGGCGUAAAGCGCGCGUAGGUGGCUAAUUAAGUCAAAUGUGAAAUCCCCGAGCUUAACUUGGGAAUUGCAUUCGAUACUGGUUAGCUAGAGUAUGGGAGAGGAUGGUAGAAUUCCAGGUGUAGCGGUGAAAUGCGUAGAGAUCUGGAGGAAUACCGAUGGCGAAGGCAGCCAUCUGGCCUAAUACUGACACUGAGGUGCGAAAGCAUGGGGAGCAAACAGGAUUAGAUACCCUGGUAGUCCAUGCCGUAAACGAUGUCUACUAGCCGUUGGGGCCUUUGAGGCUUUAGUGGCGCAGCUAACGCGAUAAGUAGACCGCCUGGGGAGUACGGUCGCAAGACUAAAACUCAAAUGAAUUGACGGGGGCCCGCACAAGCGGUGGAGCAUGUGGUUUAAUUCGAUGCAACGCGAAGAACCUUACCUGGCCUUGACAUACAGAGAACUUUCCAGAGAUGGAUUGGUGCCUUCGGGAACUCUGAUACAGGUGCUGCAUGGCUGUCGUCAGCUCGUGUCGUGAGAUGUUGGGUUAAGUCCCGCAACGAGCGCAACCCUUUUCCUUACUUGCCAGCAUUUCGGAUGGGAACUUUAAGGAUACUGCCAGUGACAAACUGGAGGAAGGCGGGGACGACGUCAAGUCAUCAUGGCCCUUACGGCCAGGGCUACACACGUGCUACAAUGGUCGGUACAAAGGGUUGCUACACAGCGAUGUGAUGCUAAUCUCAAAAAGCCGAUCGUAGUCCGGAUUGGAGUCUGCAACUCGACUCCAUGAAGUCGGAAUCG